GAGCAAUGCGCCGCUGCCCUGGCAACCGCAAUCAACACAGUGGAGGCGAGAAGUCUGGCCUUGCGCCGGCCGGGCAGCUUUUCGCCAAGGCUCCUGUGGGAUGGGAUAGCUUGUUCUCUGGGCUGCAGGAACCAAAACAUUAGACCACCUUUUCUGUGACCUUGGGCAUGCCGCCCUCGGUUCCGAGCCGCAAGUCUUUUUUUCGGGGAAAAUGAAAAGGGGUCAAGAUUUGGACCAGAUGACACCCAAUGUCCCAUUCAACGGUCGCAUUCUGUCAUCCAAGGAAUUAGUCCUGUAUCCGAAACAUUCUCUGGUAGUCAAAAGCUGUGAGCAAAUAAUAAGAAAAAAAUUACAAGCAUAAGAUGUGAAGGAGGCCACACUUAAAAAAAAACUUGAGAUGAAAUGAUGCAUUCAAGACACAGAGAAGCUGAAUAAAUUGCCAAGGUUCACACAGCUAGUAAUUGAACUGAGCUGGGUACCUGGAGCUUUCCUUGGUUUCAUUUGGAAGGACACUGACUAAGGAAAAACAGAGAAAAGCAUGAAACCCAAGCCAACUCUGCAACUCUAUUAAAAACACUAAGACUUCAAUAUGAACCUGGCAUGGUGGGCACAGUUGAGCACUGCAGGUGGCUUGCCUCCAGCAGAAGGAAUACUCAGCUCUAGAUGAUUGCCCUGAAGAAAUUCAUGCCCACUGGAGGCAGUGCAUUUUUCAUGGCUAGAGCUUCAGCAGCUAUCUAGAACCAUAUGGUGGAAGCCACUUACUGAGAACUGUGAAACAAAAGCCCGGGUCCCUGACAUAUGAAGCCACCAUACCUACCUUAAAGUGUCUUUCACUUGAGGGAAAAAUACAUCUUUCUUAGUAGCCUGAUCUGAUCAUGGCAGACGGGAGGCAGGACUAGGCUGCAGCUCCGACCUGGAUGGACAGAGCAGGAUUGUGAAUUUUAGCUCCAGAACGACUGCAAGACCAAACCAGCAAUCGCGAGAUGACUCACAGAGCUAAUGAAGGAAGCUGACUGCUCCUGCAGGACCUGGGAGACAUCCCAAAUACUCCUCAGGCAGGGCCUUUCGGAGGUAUUCCAGAAGAAGAUAUCGUUACCAUAAGAGACGACAGCUCCAUGCAUGUUAUUGCCCCUAAACACCUUCUGGUGAGACAAGAUACAGAGGUGGAAGACGUUGAUAUUGACAAUUCUGACCCUGUGAAAGCUUAGGCUAAUGUAUGUGUUUGUGUUCUAGUUUUAACAAAAAAGUUUUAAAGUUAAAACAGUUAAAAAAACUGCAAAUAGAGGAAAUGCUUAAAGAAUAAAGGUAUAAAAAAGAAAA
This is a long non-coding RNA of Symphalangus syndactylus (siamang), 1320 nucleotides long. RefSeq lists it as uncharacterized. NCBI's taxonomy places the organism in Eukaryota, Metazoa, Chordata, Mammalia, Primates, Hylobatidae. The record is from RefSeq and is a predicted model, not a curated record.